AGCGAACGCUGGCGGCAGGCCUAACACAUGCAAGUCGAGCGCCCAGCAAUGGGAGCGGCAGACGGGAUAGUAACACGUGGGAACGUACCUUUCAGUUCGGAACAACCCAGGGAAACUUGGGCUAAUACCGAAUACGUCCGUAAGGAGAAGAUUUAUCGCUGAAAGAUCGGCCCGCGUCUGAUUAGCUAGUUGGUGAGGUAAUGGCUCACCAAGGCGACGAUCAGUAGCU
Molecule: ribosomal RNA, 229 nt
Filed under: uncultured bacterium
Lineage: Bacteria
Description: partial 16S ribosomal RNA
Rfam family: Bacterial small subunit ribosomal RNA
Source: RNAcentral